GCUGGCAGCUAGCUCUCUGCAACUCUCACAUGCUUGUCCACUGAAGUUAAGCAGGGCUCACCCGGUCAGUAUCUGGAUGGGAGACCACAUGUGAAAGCUAGGUUGCUGCCAGAA
This is a non-coding RNA of Danio rerio (zebrafish), 114 nucleotides long. NCBI's taxonomy places the organism in Eukaryota, Metazoa, Chordata, Actinopteri, Cypriniformes, Danionidae. The record is from Rfam.